RNAcentral lists this microRNA precursor (63 nucleotides) under Pristionchus pacificus. RNAcentral's name for it is "mir-8364 microRNA precursor family". It matches the Rfam family "mir-8364 microRNA precursor family". The record is from Rfam by way of RNAcentral. Lineage: Eukaryota; Metazoa; Nematoda; Chromadorea; Rhabditida; Neodiplogasteridae.
UCUUCAUUUCACGUGCUCUCUCACCGGUCAGAGAGACGCGAGAGAGUGUGUGAACUGAAGAGA